Setaria italica (foxtail millet) is the source of this 780-nucleotide long non-coding RNA. RefSeq lists it as uncharacterized. The transcript has 2 exons. The record is from RefSeq and is a predicted model, not a curated record. NCBI's taxonomy places the organism in Eukaryota, Viridiplantae, Streptophyta, Magnoliopsida, Poales, Poaceae.
GGCGUCCAGGACUCCAGGCCCCGCGCUGGAGCAUGCGUCUAGGCAUGGCAGCCAUUCCUCAGCGGCGAGCACGGUGCUGCGAUGUGGUCGGCCUCGCUGGCAAUCGAGGCACGCGUAUUUAGCGGCGUGCGUGCGACGGACGGCAAAGGGGCGGUUGGAUCCUGCGUAGGGACGCGUGGAUUUUUUUCAGCACCUGGGACGGCACGACCGCGGCGGCCAGCAGCGUUAACGCCCCCGGAACGACCCCGCCUCCGACCGCGGUGGCCAACAACGUUGUUAGCCGGCAUCUGGACCAUGCCUCCGAUAGGUGAGAUCCCAGAUCCACUGUCGAUCCGCGUCCGGCUCCUCUGACUCCUCCACCAUUGGUCCGCCCCCUUUUCGUGCCAGAUCCGCCUGCUCUGGGCGGUUCUGUCGGCGUCCAUAGGUAUCUCUCGUGACUCAUUGCACAAGCGCCGGGCCACCGGUGGAAAGCACGAGGCCUGGAGGAAGAAGCGAAAGUAUUGACUAUUUCUCUUCCCUUUAUUGUUUUCCUUUGGAUUCAUGUAGGCGUGCUCUCGGUUUGUAGUUCAGGCUGCUGCUUGAUUAGAUCAGCGGUGCUAGGCAAUGCUUGCUGAUUAGUUUAUCUUCAAAAAUGCUCUUUGAAGUUUUAACCGCCCUUUACUGAUUUGCUGAAGCUGCUCUUGAGGUCAUAUUCACAAUAGAUGGUGAAUAUUUCUUUGUUAAUAAGACAGUAGCAGAUCACUGUAAAUAAGCAAGUGUUGUUCAGUUCUUUUCUCAGUA